GGAGGGUGCAAGCAUUAAUCGGAUUUACUGGGCGUAAAGAGCGCGUAGGCGGAAGUGAAGUCAGAUGUGAAAGCCCGAAGCUCAACUUCGGAACUGCAUCCGAAACUUCAUUUCUCGAGGGUAGACGGAGAAGACGGAAUUCCACGAGUAGCGGUGAAAUGCGUAGAUACGUGGAAGAACACCGGUGGCGAAGGCGGUCUUCUAGUUUAUUCCUGACGCUGAGGCGCGAAAGCAAGGGGAGCAAACAGGAUUAGAUACCCUGGUAGUCCUUGCCGUAAACGAUGCACACUUGGUGUAGCCCGGUCUCAACCCCCGGCUUUGCCCGAAGCUAACGCGUUAAGUGUGCCGCCUGGGGGAGUACGCUCGCAAGGUG
RNAcentral lists this ribosomal RNA (373 nucleotides) under uncultured organism. RNAcentral's name for it is "partial 16S ribosomal RNA". It matches the Rfam family "Bacterial small subunit ribosomal RNA", at positions 527 to 896 of the family's 1533-position model. The record is from RNAcentral.